GAGUUUGAUUCUGGCUCAGGAUGAACGCUGGCGGCGUGCUUAACACAUGCAAGUCGAACGGGCGAAUUAUAUCGGAGGUCUUCGGGCCAAAGAGAUAAUAAGCUAGUGGCGGACGGGUGCGUAACGUGUGGGUAAUCUGCCUUUGUCAUAGGAAUAACUGCUUGAAAAAGUAGCUAAUACCAAAUAACAUAUCGUAUAGGCAUCUAUAAGAUAUCAAAGAGAAAUCGGACAAAGAUGAGCCCGCAUCUGAUUAGCUGGUUGGUAGGGUAAAAGCCUACCAAGGCGACGAUCAGUAGCCGGCCUGAGAGGGUGAACGGCCACAUUGGAACUGAGACACGGUCCAAACUCCUACGGGAGGCAGCAGUGGGGAAUAUUGCACAAUGGGGGGAACCCUGAUGCAGCAACGCCGCGUGAGUGAAGAAGGCUUUCGAGUCGUAAAACUCUGUUGUAAGGGAAGA
RNAcentral lists this ribosomal RNA (458 nucleotides) under Filifactor villosus. RNAcentral's name for it is "bacterial SSU rRNA". It matches the Rfam family "Bacterial small subunit ribosomal RNA", at positions 9 to 448 of the family's 1533-position model. The record is from RNAcentral. Lineage: Bacteria; Bacillati; Bacillota; Clostridia; Peptostreptococcales; Filifactoraceae.